GCCUUGAUUCCAAAUUAGUUGGGGUUGGCAACAUGGUUCCUUUUUCACCAAGCUAAAAUGAAAACAAUUAAAUUGUCUAUCACCUGUCUUUGUGUCAAUGUUUUACAUCUUAAAAUUACCACUGAAAGUAAAACGGACUAAACCAUGCCCCUGCAUCAUAACCCAAAGAGCAAUAGUGCAAUACUAAAUGAUUACAUGAGAAUUUUGAUAUCAAUUUGUCACUUUUCUUCCUUCUAUUUGGAUUACCUCCUCUGCAUUUUUACAGAACUUGCUGAUAAUACCUCAAAUUGAGACCUCAGCAAUGUGGGAGUAGCACUUCAAACGUUCCAGAAAAACCUCAAAUAUCUGAUGAUCCAUAAUAGUAUUUACCUCUUCACCGGAGGAUCGGCAACUCUAUAAGAAUCAGCUGUAGUUCCCACCAACCACAACCCAGGAAAAACAUUAUCAAGCAAUUUCUGCACGUUCUUGGGUCGUUUCCUGGGCCUCCUGGCAGGUCUCGACCCAGUCAAAGCGAAAAUAUCCUC
Molecule: unclassified non-coding RNA, 524 nt
Filed under: Hevea brasiliensis (rubber tree)
Lineage: Eukaryota; Viridiplantae; Streptophyta; Magnoliopsida; Malpighiales; Euphorbiaceae
Source: RNAcentral